AGCAGCCGCGGUAAUUCCAGCUCCAAUAGCGUAUAUUAAAGUUGUUGCAGUUAAAAAGCUCGUAGUUGAACUUCGGGGUUUACCCAUUGGUCAGGCUUAAUUGUCUGUACUGGUGAGAUAAAUCUCUACCUUCUGAGGAACUUUCAUGCCAUUUAGUUGGUGUGAUAGGAAAUCAGGACUGUUACUUUGAAAAAAUUAGAGUGUUUAAAGCAGGCUAACGUCUGAAUACAUUAGCAUGGAAUAAUGAAAUAGGACGGAUUGGUUCUAUUUCGUUGGUUUCUAGGAUCACCGUAAUGAUUAAUAGGGAUAGUUGGGGGCAUUAGUAUUCAAUUGUCAGAGGUGAAAUUCUUGGAUUUAUUGAAGACUAACUAUUGCGAAAGCAUUUGCCAAGGAUGUUUUCAUUAAUCAAGAACGAAAGUUAGGGGAUCGAAGACGAUCAGAUACCGUCGUAGUCUUAACCAUAAACUAUGCCGACUAGGGAUCGGACGAAGUUAAUUUUAUAAUUGACGCGUUCG
Molecule: ribosomal RNA, 515 nt
Filed under: uncultured Diversispora
Lineage: Eukaryota; Fungi; Glomeromycota; Glomeromycetes; Diversisporales; Diversisporaceae
Description: SSU rRNA
Rfam family: Eukaryotic small subunit ribosomal RNA
Source: RNAcentral